ACUGAGGAACGCCGCGUGCCGGAAGACGGCCUUCGGGUUGUAAACGGCUUUUGUCGGGGAAGAGAUGGACGGGACGCGACGAAUAAGGGCCGGCUAACUCCGUGGCGGCAGCCGCGGUAAGACGGAGGGGGCAAGCGUUGUCCGGACUCACUGGGCGUAAAGGGUGCGUAGGCGGGGCAGAGCGUCGACACUGAAACCUCCUGGCUCAACCAGGAGACGCGUGGCGAUACGUCUGAACUCGAGGCAAGGAGAGGUGCGCGGAAUUCCGGGUGUAGUGGUGAAAUGCGUAGAUAUCCGGAGGAACGUCGGGGGGGUAAGCGGGGCACUGGUCUUGACCUGACGCUGAGGCACGAAAGCGUGGGGAGCGAACCGGAUUAGAUACCCGGGUAGUCCACGCAGUAAACGAUGUCGGCUCGGGGUGCAGUGGUGUAUACACACCACCGCGUGCCCCAGUUCACACGGUAAGCCGACCGCCUGGGGACUACGAGCGCAAGCUUAAAACUCAAAGGAAUUGACGGGGGCCCGCACAAGCAGCGGAGCGUGUGGUUUAAUUCGACGCAACGCGAAGAACCUUACCCAGGUUUGACAUGGUACUGCAAGCGCACGGAAACGUGUGACCUUCGAGGGUGUACCACAGGUGCUGCAUGGCUGUCGUCAGCUCGUGUCGGGAGAUGUUGGGUUAAGUCCCGCAACGAGCGCAACCCUCGCUGCCAGUUACUCGUGUCUGGCGGGACAGCCCUCUUUGAAGGGGGAGGAAGGCGGGGAUGACGUCAAGUCAGCAUGGCCCUUACGCCUGGGGCGACACACACGCUACAAUGCCGACCACAAUGCGUGGCAAACCCGCAAGGGGGAGCUAAUCGCCAAA
Molecule: ribosomal RNA, 865 nt
Filed under: uncultured Chloroflexaceae bacterium
Lineage: Bacteria; Bacillati; Chloroflexota; Chloroflexia; Chloroflexales; Chloroflexaceae
Description: bacterial SSU rRNA
Rfam family: Bacterial small subunit ribosomal RNA
Source: RNAcentral